CGGAGGAUCCAAGCGUUAUCCGGAAUCAUUGGGUUUAAAGGGUCCGUAGGCGGUUUGUUAAGUCAGUGGUGAAAUCUGGCCGCUCAACGAUCAAACGGCCAUUGAUACUGACAGACUUGAAUUAUUGGGAAGUAACUAGAAUAUGUAGUGUAGCGGUGAGAUGCUUAGAUAUUACAUGGAAUACCAAUUGCGAAGGCAGGUUACUAUCAAUAUAUUGACGCUGAUGGACGAAAGCGUGGGGAGCGAACAGGAUUAGAUACCCUGGUAGUCCACGCCGUAAACGAUGGAUACUAGCUGUUGGGAGCAAUUUCAGUGGCUAAGCGAAAGUGAUAAGUAUCCCACCUGGGGAGUACGUUCGCAAGAAUG
Molecule: ribosomal RNA, 366 nt
Filed under: uncultured organism
Description: bacterial SSU rRNA
Rfam family: Bacterial small subunit ribosomal RNA
Source: RNAcentral